Molecule: long non-coding RNA, 768 nt
Filed under: Hordeum vulgare
Lineage: Eukaryota; Viridiplantae; Streptophyta; Magnoliopsida; Poales; Poaceae
Description: long non-coding RNA (HVUL_LNC001877)
Source: RNAcentral
CCCAACAUGGUCAUGGCAUCGUCAAGCAACGAUCCACAAGGGAGGAUAAAGGGGAUUGACAACCCAAGCUUUGUGGCUCUUGGAUGACCUCUCAUAAGGCCCAAAACCCACGCCUCGUUUUCUUACAUGCAUGUUUCAUGUGAGAUGGUGGUGUGGGUUUCGGUACGUCUCAAGUACAGGACGGCUAGAGAAUUUAUUGUAAUGCUAUACAUUAGGAUAUAUGUCACACGUUAUGACAUGAUCUUGUGUGAGGAAAAGGGUCAGACAAGACAUAAAGUCUCUCAGGGCAUCAUUGGCAAUCCUCUAGAACCGCAAACAUCUCGACUCUCGCUCCUCUAACUCAAACCCAACUUAAAAAAUACUAGGGAUUUCAUAAUCCGUUAGCUAAAUCGGUAGUGUCCUAAGAUCGAUUUCAUCGUCCGAUGAACCAUUUAGGGGAUAUUUGGCCCGUUUGACAAGGAAACAUCCGCACCAUAUGGAUCUUCAUCUCAACAUUGUAUGAAACUACGCAAGGCCUAAUAUUCUAUAAAACUUCUUCUCAACCAAUCCAAUCAGUCCCUCCCGUGGGGCUUGUCAGUUUCGUGAUUUCUCCCACAUCGUGUGGCUACACAAAAUGGGGUAGGGACCUUAUCUAUUUAAUAUGGUGGGGUGCCAAGCGUUGGAGGUAUCCAUAUCCUUGUUUAGCAUAAUGUAUUCUACCCUCACUACUAGAAAAAUAGCUAUAGCCAAUAUGGACAGUAAUGGCGCACUAUACAUGUGGUGUGCCAU